CGAAUAGUGCUGUCUUUUUUUAGUGUCCGUAUCGCUCCUCCAGUACGUCCGUCUUGUCUUUAAUCUGAUUGCAUGGUACUCUCCAGACGCACGCCUUGAAGCGUUCUCGUGACCUCUCAUUAGCCAAUCGCGUUAUAACAGUGGAAAGUCACAGUGCGCAUCGUCGGACUGCAGGUAUAGCGACCACUUCAGUCCACAGACAUUUUGAAGAUUACUUACCUAAGAAGCGUUGAUGGAUAAGUCUGAUCUCGAUAUAUCCUUUAUUCUGUGUUGUAUUAAGAUAACGAGAAGAGCGGGACUGUUCUAUUUAUACUUAACAUAUCGAAAGUGUCUUAGGCGACGUCUGAAGCGUACAUUUAAAAGACGUUUUCUUAAUUGUGAGAAUGAUUGCAAAUAUGCAACUUCCACUUAUAACCAUCCUGCUUUUCAAGUCAUGUUUGUGUCUUCAAAUUGACACGGUCAUUCAGUUUCUGCGUUCGGGAGUGUUCGGCAAGGUGGAGACUGUCGAGCAGGUUUUGGUCAACGGAGCCCCUCUCUCCAGCUGCGGGAAAGACGUCAGCAGCAUUCUCAAUGCUGUAUUGCUGAUCAACUACAACGAAUCUUUUCAAACGAUAGAAGAAAGUGGCAACAACACAAUGAAAAUAAGUCAUACUUACAUGCGUGUACGAGAGUGCAAACUGGAUAGCUUUGGAGUGUUGCUUUUGACAGACCGUCUUCUAGUUGAUGGGAAUAACUUCCUUACUCUGGACCGAGCCACGGACACUUGGACAGCAGAGGGACCACAGGCUCUCCCUCUGAAACAUCUAUGGGACCGGGAGAGCACACGCACAAGGCGGGAAAUUAUGCAACUCCAUGAAAGCUGUACCAAACUACUGGAGGAGAUCACAUGUUCUGAGCCCGGCGCUACUGGAGCAGGGAUGGACAUUCCGACGGCCCUGGCUCCGCUGCUUGCAGGCCUGGGAUUUGUUAUAUUGGUUAUUGCUAGCUUCCUCAUCUCAAAGAAACAAGAUCCCACCAUUUCAGGACAUCCUGGAGGGGUCAUUGGCUCCAUAAUUCACUAUCCUCAUAAUAUCUCAGAAUUAUCACACAGCCCUAAUCCAGGAAGAGGGUACCAGGUCCUCUAAAACCCAACCUCCUUCUGUUCACUGGUUCUCACUUCACAACCAUCUGGUCUGGUGACCAUAAAAUGCCUUAUGUGUGGAUUGACUUUCUACCAUCUGCCUCAAAAUAUGUACACUCUCCCUUGAUGUGGUGGAAAAUGCUCACUUUUGCUAGUUAAAUAUUUUUAAAUGACCCGGAGUGAGAAAACAUUGUAAUUGAGAGUAUGACAGAAACUAUUGUGGCAUCACCAAUUGUGUAAAUUUAGACACUUACUGUAAAUUGAAAUCUUAGUGGUAAAGGAUAUCAAUACGAUUUUAUGCACUUUAUAAUCGAUUUUUUUCCCUGGGUGGGAUUCUAACCCUGUGCAUUUUCAUGUAAUUGUACUUAUGCUCUUCAGCCUUUUAUGUCAACACAGACACAGCAUGCAUGCACAUAUACACAGACACAGCAUGCAUGCACAUAUACACAGACAUAGGCAUCAACAUACACACAGAGAUCCAAAAAAGCAGAUGCACAAUACUGAACACAAUUCUGUCAAAAGGUUUGUGUGUAGAAUUUUGUUACUUUAUUGAUAUAUUCAAUCAAUUUUAAUGACCAUGCCUGAACCAAAACACUAUUAAAAAACCACAUGUUGCCUUAGUGUGAAGAGCUACUGUAUUUUAAGGCAUCUGAAUGUAUAAUGAAACAGGGAUUUGCUGAGAUUUCUGAUUACAGGUUUUGUCACUUCAUUUGUGUAAUGUAACAUACAGAUGUGUAUCACAUUAUUAAAGAAAGCUAUCUGUUUAUUACCUUUGUACUUGUCUUGGAAUAUUCCGAGGUCAUCUUUCAUUGUAAGUGUUUAUGAAGUGUUUCUGAAGUCAGAUAGUUGCACUGGCAUCCACACUUAAGUACCAAAUCCAUAACCCCAUUUUCAGUGUGUUUUCUUUGUCAUUUAACAGAAAUGUUUAUCCAAAUUUAUGGAUUAUGAAUAUUUAAGGUGAUAUACUGCAUAUUUUGGGCAUUUCUUUUUGCCAUACUUUUGGUAUAUAUAUGUUUGUCAUCUAUCAGCGAGUCCUUUUUACAGAACUCUGAAGGCUCUUGUAAGUACUGUCAUCUGGCCAUCCUGUUUUUAAAGUGGUUUGCCCCUUGCAAUGUAAAACCUGUAGUUCUGUUGAAGUGUGUUGCGGUGGCUUUGUCGUUCACACAUACUUACCAAAUAAUGUUAAAUAUUUUUCUUCACAAUUUCAAAUGUUUAGUCAUUUAGCAGACACUUAUCCUGAGCAAUUUGAAGGAGUAACAAUGGUUUCAAGUCUUGGUCUUGGGCAAAACUAUAGAUUUUCUAAUUGGUUUUAAUCAGUUAAUGGAACUUGCAGACUCCAAAGGCAAACACCAAGCACAUAAUGAAGACUAGACCCUCAAGAACAGGGUCAAUCAAGUACAAGGUGAUGGCGAAAACCAGCAGACACUCGGCCCUCCGUGGAACAGCUUGUACACCCCUGCUCUAAAGCAAAAUUAAUCUACACUGGCCCUAACAAGCUGCACACCUGCAGUCUGACUUCCAGCAGUUACAAAUCUUAUUUAUAGAUUGUGGGUUGGUACAGAAUGCAAAUCAAAUUAAUUACAUGCUAGUUUUUAAGUCAGA
This is a long non-coding RNA of Esox lucius (northern pike), 2722 nucleotides long. The record is from Ensembl. NCBI's taxonomy places the organism in Eukaryota, Metazoa, Chordata, Actinopteri, Esociformes, Esocidae.